Molecule: unclassified non-coding RNA, 333 nt
Filed under: soil metagenome
Description: partial contains 5.8S ribosomal RNA, internal transcribed spacer 2, and large subunit ribosomal RNA
Rfam family: 5.8S ribosomal RNA (bases 1-120)
Source: RNAcentral
GAUGAAGAACGCAGCGAAAUGCGAUAAGUAGUGUGAAUUGCAGAAUUCAGUGAAUCAUCGAAUCUUUGAACGCACAUUGCGCCCCUUGGUAUUCCAUGGGGCAUGCCUGUUCGAGCGUCAUUUGUACCUUCAAGCUUUGCUUGGUGUUGGGUGUUUGUCCAUUCUCUUGCAGAGGGACUCGCCUUAAAGUAAUUGGCAGCCAGUGUUUUGGUUUUGAAGCGCAGCACAAGUCGCGAUUCAACGCUAUACGCCAGCUUCCACAAGCCUUUUUCACUUUUGACCUCGGAUCAGGUAGGGAUACCCGCUGAACUUAAGCAUAUCAAUAACGGAGGA